CUACGGGCGGCACCAAUGAGGAAUAUUGCACAAUGGGGGGAACCCUGAUGCAGCAACGCCGCGUGGAGGAUGACGCAUUUCGGUGUGUAAACUCCUUUUAUAUGUCAAGAAAAUGACGGUAGCAUAUGAAUAAGCACCGGCUAACUCCGUGCCAGCAGCCGCGGUAAUACGGAGGGUGCAAGCGUUACUCGGAAUCACUGGGCGUAAAGGACGCGUAGGCGGGUUGGAAAGUCAGGUGUGAAAUCCUACAGCUUAACUGUAGAACUGCACUUGAAACUUCUAAUCUUGAGUAUGGGAGGGGGAGAUGGAAUUAGUGGUGUAGGGGUAAAAUCCGUAGAUAUCACUAGGAAUACCUAAAGCGAAGGCGAUCUCCUGGAACAUUACUGACGCUAAGGCGUGAAAGCGUGGGGAGCAAACAGGAUUAGACACCCCCGUAGUC
This 439-nucleotide ribosomal RNA is filed under the name uncultured bacterium. RNAcentral's name for it is "partial 16S ribosomal RNA". It matches the Rfam family "Bacterial small subunit ribosomal RNA", at positions 339 to 795 of the family's 1533-position model. The record is from RNAcentral.